Long non-coding RNA from Mandrillus leucophaeus (drill), 1366 nucleotides. RefSeq lists it as uncharacterized. The record is from RefSeq and is a predicted model, not a curated record. Lineage: Eukaryota; Metazoa; Chordata; Mammalia; Primates; Cercopithecidae. The transcript is spliced from 10 exons.
UCAGAAGACUGGCUUCUCCCUGAUGGUUCAUGGACUAAGGCAAAGAUGAGCAGAGCCAUGGCCCUCUUUUUUGUGCUCUGCUGGAUCCAAGAGUCUGGGUCUCCCUAUGUUCCCCAGGCUGGUCUCGAACUCCUGACCUCAAGUGAUCCUCCCACCUCGACCUCCCACAGCGCCGGGAUUACAGAUGUGAGCCACCGCACCUGGCCUGAAUUUUCCUCUAGUUCAAAAAGUCCUGAUGAAGGUUUGGCUAAAAUAUUUGAUGAAAUUCUGCUGCAAGUGUUUUCCAAGGCUCCGUAUGACCCAUCGUUUGAUGAAACAAGAACAGCAGUCAGACCCAUUACAAAGAGAAACACACAAAAAAACCAUGUGAAAAUGAGCUUAGCCCCUGGUGUUGUGUUGGAACUUCAGAUGCUUGCAGACACUUCAUGACUGCUCUGUGACACUCAGAACAGGCUAUUCCCAACCAAAGAGCUUGAACGAUGCUGUAUUUGCAUCAGGUUCAAAGGAACGAGAGGAACAUUUGGCUAAAAUAUUUGAUGAAAUUCUGCUGCAGGUGUUUCCCACGGUUCCAUAUGACCCGUCAUUUAGCGAAACAACAGCAGUCCGAUCCAUUACAAAGACAGACAUGAGAAAAGCAACCAGUGUUGCUUGGAAUUCUCCUGGACCAGAAUAUUUCCUUGGCAGUGUGGACAAAAUUCCCGAUAAAGAUCACCUUUCAGAGAAGAGGUUUAAAGAAUCCUCUCUGUUCGACAGGGAUUUAAGAGAGCAGUUAACUACUGGAGAUAAAGAAACACUUCAAGGGGCAGCUAAACCAGAUGCGCACUUUAGGACUCUGCCCUGCAGGCAGCUUCUGCAUUUCCUGCAGAGGAACACCAUCAUCGCCGCCAUCGCAGGGGUGGUCAUCCUCACGGCCACCGUGCUGUUGCUGCUUGGUUUGGCCUCAUACAUCAGGAAGAAACGGCCAUCAUCUCCUCCGGCAAACACGACAUAUAAUAUUUUCAUAAUGAAUGGAAAGACAUGGUGGCAAAAUUCUGAAGAAAAAAAUUUCACAAAAUAUACAAAAAAAGAGAAACAGUUGAAGAGCAGCUCCUGUGUCUAAGCCAGGUCGCGGGGCAGUCAAACCAGGACUUGAAACUACGAUGCGAGGACAUUUCUCCAUCCACACACCACAGGGAGGCAAUUCCAUUUCUGCCCGGGGAGGUGUAUUCUACAAAAACGUCUGCUUCCCGUCCCAAUUUGAAUGGACCAAGAAAAACUGCUUUGCCACAGGACACCUGUGGUAACAUGGCACCGAUGGCCGGCAUCGGCGAACCCAACAGACUAUGGACUUAUCAUUUAAUAAAGCAUUGAUUCAUUUAUUCAGUCA